CUCUGAGCCUCUGUCCCUCAAGCUGCUGUUCCCACACUUGUCACACAGUCCACCCAUACUCCUCCCAGCUGGGAUCUCUAUGGAAGUGGCCAUCAGUACAGUGUCUUGGUGCCACACGGGUGGCUUCCAUGUCAAGGAUGGAAGUGGAGAGCUGGUGCCGUAAAGACCAGCAGCCAGGAAUUGCUCUGAGUCUGGGAUCAAAAUGAGCCUCAAGUCUCAGAGCUACUGACUAAUGGCUUUUUGGAAAUAAUUGUUUUUCUAAAUAUGACAAUACUCAUGAUCAUUGCAGGUAAAAGAAUGAACAAGAUAAAAAGCACCUGUAAUUGCAUCAACCAGAGAUGACCACCCAUAAUUUCUGAUUAGCUUUACUCUCUGUAUUCCUGUAAGUAUAAUAUACACAUAAAAUUUACUUUCUGUUACAUGGUAGGUGUGUAUUCCAGCAUCUUCUCCACAACUUGUGAGGAGCAUUUUUACAUUUCACUAAAUAUCAUCCAUCAACAUUGUUAUCUCUGCAUAUUUGCUCAUUGUAUGAGUAUGCCAUAAUUUUUAAACUUUUUUAUCAUUGUAUAUUUAGGUGUCCCUUUUUUGGCUUUGAAAGAAAUUGUUAUCAAAGAUGCUUACAGAAAUAUCAGAAUGCUUCUUGGAUUUGUGAUUAUGGGAAUGAAGAAAAAAAGUUCUUGCUUCUGAAUGCAUGCUCAGGAAACUGUUACUUGCUGAGUGGUUUCACCAGCUGCUCUAGCUGUUUCAUGAAUGUCCAUCUCUUUCCCAGGUUCUGAGGAGACAACCCAGCUUAGAAAUGGAAAAGUGGUUGGAUCUGUGUUUGCAAGAAUGGAUGGGCUGCAGAGGUCACAUUCCAGUGACCGUGUGGGCUCUGGGUGCUGCGUACACUUUCUUGCAGUGCUAUAGCUAUCUGAUCUCUUUGUUCCAUCUUGUAACUUAGUUUGUUCCUCUAUGCUUAUUAGCAAUAAAAUAUUUUUGACUCUCAGAAAACCUUGUUUGUUGCAGGGACAAGAAACCAGAAAAGAAGUAGAAAUCAUCAUUCCACUCCUGUAGCUGCAGAAAGUGGCUGUCCUGUUGUGUGUCCUCAGAGCUCCCUGUGUCUCUCCCUCACAG
Molecule: long non-coding RNA, 1113 nt
Filed under: Marmota monax (woodchuck)
Lineage: Eukaryota; Metazoa; Chordata; Mammalia; Rodentia; Sciuridae
Source: RNAcentral